ACCCCCUGGCAAUGGGCAAAGAGACACCUUGUUGUUGGUGUUGUUCUUAUAUCAGUCAUAGGCAGAGCAGAUGGCAGUCCUUUGUUCAUCCUAGCUUGAUACCUGGCUUGGUGGCCAAAGCUCUCUUAUGCCUAGGACUCAUCA
Mus musculus (house mouse) is the source of this 144-nucleotide non-coding RNA. NCBI's taxonomy places the organism in Eukaryota, Metazoa, Chordata, Mammalia, Rodentia, Muridae. The record is from Rfam.